This 465-nucleotide ribosomal RNA is filed under the name uncultured bacterium. RNAcentral describes it as "partial 16S ribosomal RNA". It matches the Rfam family "Bacterial small subunit ribosomal RNA", at positions 28 to 507 of the family's 1533-position model. The record is from RNAcentral.
GACGAACGCUGGCGGCGUGCUUAACACAUGCAAGUCGAACGGAAAGGCCCCUUUGGGGGUACUCGAGUGGCGAACGGGUGAGUAACACGUGAGUAACCUGCCCUUGACUUCGGGAUAACUUCAGGAAACUGGGGCUAAUACCGGAUAGGAAUCCUUGCUGCAUGGUGGGGGUUGGAAAGCUUCGGCGGUUUUGGAUGGACUCGCGGCUUAUCAGUUUGUUGGUGGGGUAGUGGCUUACCAAGGCUUUGACGGGUAGCCGGCCUGAGAGGGCGAACGGCCACAUUGGGACUGGGAUACGGCCCAGACUCCUACGGGGGGCAGGAGUGGGGAAUAUUGCACAAUGGGCGGAAGCCUGAUGCAGCAACGGCGCGUGCGGGAUGACGGCCUUCGGGUUGUAAACCGCUUUCAGCAGGGGCGAAGCUUGGGGUGACGGUACCUGCAGAAGAAGCACCGGCUAACUACGUG